CCUGCCGCAGAGGUGUUGCAGGUGUGGCUGCUGUGUCACAUGUGCAGCAGUAGGUGGCACAAUGAUGAGUAGCCUACCAUUUCCUGAAAAAACUGAGCCUGGGACU
This 106-nucleotide small nucleolar RNA is filed under the name Mus pahari (shrew mouse). Its description in RNAcentral is "snoRNA (MGP_PahariEiJ_G0034930.1)". The stretch from base 1 to 81 matches the Rfam family "Small nucleolar RNA SNORA17". Rfam says of the family: snoRNA ACA 17 belongs to the H/ACA family of snoRNAs and is predicted to guide pseudouridylation of the 28S rRNA at positions U4659 and U4598. The record is from RNAcentral. Lineage: Eukaryota; Metazoa; Chordata; Mammalia; Rodentia; Muridae.